GGACCGGUAGCAAAAUUGGCUGAAUGCAGCGGACUUUUAACCCGCAGGAGAAAUCCCACUGUGAGUUCGAAUCUCACCCGGUUCACCA
RNAcentral lists this transfer RNA (88 nucleotides) under marine sediment metagenome. Its description in RNAcentral is "tRNA-Lys". It matches the Rfam family "tRNA". Rfam says of the family: Transfer RNA (tRNA) molecules are approximately 80 nucleotides in length. Their secondary structure includes four short double-helical elements and three loops (D, anti-codon, and T loops). Further hydrogen bonds mediate the characteristic L-shaped molecular structure. tRNAs have two regions of fundamental functional importance: the anti-codon, which is responsible for specific mRNA codon recognition, and the 3' end, to which the tRNAs corresponding amino acid is attached (by aminoacyl-tRNA synthetases). tRNAs cope with the degeneracy of the genetic code in two manners: having more than one tRNA (with a specific anti-codon) for a particular amino acid; and 'wobble' base-pairing, i.e. permitting non-standard base-pairing at the 3rd anti-codon position. The record is from RNAcentral.